RNAcentral lists this ribosomal RNA (468 nucleotides) under uncultured bacterium. RNAcentral's name for it is "partial 16S ribosomal RNA". It matches the Rfam family "Bacterial small subunit ribosomal RNA", at positions 28 to 507 of the family's 1533-position model. The record is from RNAcentral.
GACGAACGCUGGCGGCGUGCUUAACACAUGCAAGUCGAACGGAAAGGCCCUGCUUUUGUGGUGUUCUCGAGUGGCGAACGGGUGAGUAACACGUGAGUAACCUGCCCUUGUUUUUCGGAUAAGUUAAGGAAGGGGGGCUUAAGCUCGUACAGCAUCCCACCUACGAUGGAGGGGGUGGGAACUUUUGGGCGGUCGGGGAUGGACUCGCGGCUGUCGAGCUUGCUGGUGGGGUAGUGGCUUACCAAGCAUUUGACGGGUAGCCGGCUUGUGAGGGUGACCGGCCACAUGAGGACUGAGAUACGGCCCAGACUGCUACGGGAGGCAGCAGUGGGGAAUAUGGCACAAUGGGCGGAAGCCUGAUGCAGCAACGCCGCGUGCGGGAUGACCGCCUUCGGGUUGUGAACCGCUUUCGCCUGUGACGAAGCGGGAGUGACGGUAAUGAGUAAAGAAGCACCGGCUAACUACGUG